Molecule: ribosomal RNA, 1399 nt
Filed under: metagenome
Description: SSU rRNA
Rfam family: Eukaryotic small subunit ribosomal RNA
Source: RNAcentral
UGGGGUUCGGCUCCGGAGAGUUCGCCUGAGAAAUCGCGAACACAUCUAAGGAAGGCAGCAGGCGCGAAAAUUACCCACUCUCAGCACGAGGAGGUAGUGACGAAAAAUAACGAGACCGUUCUCUUUCGAGGCCGGUCAUCGGAAUGGGUACAAUUUAAACCCUUUAACGAGUAUCUAUGAGAGGGCAAGUCUGGUGCCAGCAGCCGCGGUAAUUCCAGCUCUCAAAGUGCAUAGAAUUAUUGCUGCGGUUAAAAAGCUCGUAGUUGGAUCUGUGCCAUAGGACGGGGUCCACCUUCGGGUGCGUACUCCGCUCCUAGGCUUUUUGCUGGUUUUCCCGUCGUAGCCUUCACUGGUUGCGGCGGGUGGCUGGCGAGUUUACUUUGAGAAAAUCAGAGUGCUCAAUACAGGCGUCUAGCUUGAAUGAUUGUGCAUGGAAUAAUAGAAAAGGAUUUCGGUCCUCUUUUAUUGGUUUUGUGGACUGAGAUAAUGGUUAACAGGGACAAACGGGGGCAUUCGUAUCGCUGCGUGAGAGGUGAAAUUCUUGGACCGUAGCGAGACGCCCUACUGCGAAAGCAUUUGCCAAGAAUGUCUUCAUUAAUCAAGAACGAAAGUCAGAGGUUCGAAGGCGAUCAGAUACCGCCCUAGUUCUGACCGUAAACGAUGCCAACUAGCGAUCCGCCGGUGGAUUUUUAGCCCUGGUGGGUAGCUUCCCGGAAACGAAAGUCUUCCGGUUCCGGGGGAAGUAUGGUUGCAAAGCUGAAACUUAAAGGAAUUGACGGAAGGGCACCACCAGGAGUGGAGCCUGCGGCUUAAUUUGACCCAACACGGGGAAACUCACCCGGCCCGGACACCGUAAGGAUUGACAGAUUGAUAGCUCUUUCAUGAUUCGGUGGUUGGUGGUGCAUGGCCGUUCUUAGUUCGUGGAUCGAUUUGUCUGGUUUAUUCCGAUAACGAGCGAGACUCUAGCCUACUAAAUAGUAACGAGAUUGCCAUUGUCUUAGUUGCUUCUUAGAGGGAUUUUCGGUGUUUAGCCGCACGAGAUUGAGCAAUAACAGGUCUGUGAUGCCCUUAGAUGUCCGGGGCUGCACGCGCGCUACACUGGCGAAAUCAGCGUGCUGUAUCCAUUCUCGAAAGAGAUUGGUAAACCCAUGAAAAUUUGCCGUGCUUGGGAUCGGAAAUUGCAAUUAUUUUCCGUGAACGAGGAAUUCCAAGUAAGUGCGAGUCAUCAACUCGCUCUGAUUACGUCCCUGCCCUUUGUACACACCGCCCGUCGCUGCCCGGGACUGAGCCAUUUCGAGAAGAUCAGGGACCGGUGGGCUGUGGCCUCUUCGGAGGUUCGGUCCGUUGGAAACUGAUUUGAUCGCAGUGGCUUGAACCGGGCAAAAGUCGUAACAAGGUA